GGAUGUUGGCUUAGAAGCAGCCAUCAUUUAAAGAAAGCGUAAUAGCUCACUGGUCGAGUCGGCCUGCGCGGAAGAUGUAACGGGGCUAAACCAUGCACCGAAGCUGCGGCAGCGACGCUGAUGCGUUGUUGGGUAGGGGAGCGUUCUGUAAGCCUGUGAAGGUGUGCUGUGAGGCAUGCUGGAGGUAUCAGAAGUGCGAAUGCUGACAUAAGUAACGAUAAAGCGGGUGAAAAGCCCGCUCGCCGGAAGACCAAGGGUUCCUGUCCAACGUUAAUCGGGGCAGGGUGAGUCGACCCCUAAGGCGAGGCCGAAAGGCGUAGUCGAUGGGAAACAGGUUAAUAUUCCUGUACUUGGUGUUACUGCGAAGGGGGGACGGAGAAGGCUAUGUUGGCCGGGCGACGGUUGUCCCGGUUUAAGCGUGUAGGCUGGUUUUCCAGGCAAAUCCGGAAAAUCAAGGCUGAGGCGUGAUGACGAGGCACUACGGUGCUGAAGCAACAAAUGCCCUGCUUCCAGGAAAAGCCUCUAAGCAUCAGGUAACAUCAAAUCGUACCCCAAACCGACACAGGUGGUCAGGUAGAGAAUACCAAGGCGCUUGAGAGAACUCGGGUGAAGGAACUAGGCAAAAUGGUGCCGUAACUUCGGGAGAAGGCACGCUGAUAUGUAGGUGAAGCGACUUGCUCGUGGAGCUGAAAUCAGUCGAAGAUACCAGCUGGCUGCAACUGUUUAUUAAAAACACAGCACUGUGCAAACACGAAAGUGGACGUAUACGGUGUGACGCCUGCCCGGUGCCGGAAGGUUAAUUGAUGGGGUUAGCGCAAGCGAAGCUCUUGAUCGAAGCCCCGGUAAACGGCGGCCGUAACUAUAACGGUCCUAAGGUAGCGAAAUUCCUUGUCGGGUAAGUUCCGACCUGCACGAAUGGCGUAAUGAUGGCCAGGCUGUCUCCACCCGAGACUCAGUGAAAUUGAACUCGCUGUGAAGAUGCAGUGUACCCGCGGCAAGACGGAAAGACCCCGUGAACCUUUACUAUAGCUUGACACUGAACAUUGAGCCUUGAUGUGUAGGAUAGGUGGGAGGCUU
RNAcentral lists this ribosomal RNA (1077 nucleotides) under Escherichia coli. RNAcentral's name for it is "bacterial LSU rRNA". It matches the Rfam family "Bacterial large subunit ribosomal RNA", at positions 1096 to 2157 of the family's 2925-position model. Lineage: Bacteria; Pseudomonadati; Pseudomonadota; Gammaproteobacteria; Enterobacterales; Enterobacteriaceae. The record is from RNAcentral.